UGGGGAAUUUUCCGCAAUGGGCGAAAGCCUGACGGAGCAAUACCGCGUGAGGGAAGAAGGCUUUUGGGUUGUAAACCUCUUUUGUCAGGGAAGAAGAAUUGACGGUACCUGAAGAAAAAGCAUCGGCUAACUCCGUGCCAGCAGCCGCGGUAAUACGGAGGAUGCAAGCGUUAUCCGGAAUCAUUGGGCGUAAAGGGUCCGCAGGUGGCGAAUAAAGUCUGCUGUUAAAGACCGGGGCUAAACUCCGGAAAGGCAGUGGAAACUGAUUAGCUAGAGUACGGUAGGGGUAGAGGGAAUUCCCAGUGUAGCGGUGAAAUGCGUAGAUAUUGGGAAGAACACCGGUGGCGAAAGCGCUCUACUAGGCCGAAACUGACACUGAGGGACGAAAGCUA
RNAcentral lists this ribosomal RNA (392 nucleotides) under uncultured Prochloron sp. RNAcentral's name for it is "bacterial SSU rRNA". It matches the Rfam family "Bacterial small subunit ribosomal RNA", at positions 355 to 762 of the family's 1533-position model. The record is from RNAcentral. Lineage: Bacteria; Bacillati; Cyanobacteriota; Cyanophyceae; Chroococcales; Prochloraceae.